This 411-nucleotide long non-coding RNA is filed under the name Rattus norvegicus (Norway rat). RNAcentral's name for it is "long non-coding RNA NONRATT016904". Lineage: Eukaryota; Metazoa; Chordata; Mammalia; Rodentia; Muridae. The record is from RNAcentral.
GUACACUUCCCAGCCGGAUCUUGAUUUCAGGAGCCUUGGGUCUGAUCACUGCCAUGGAGGUAGUCUGGGCAGCAGCAGGGUAUUUGGUGGCCUGCUUCUCUGGCUGUUUGUCCUUGGGUGUCUGCUGGAUGUUGGGAACAAAGAGUCGAGACAUGAUGGUGGACUUGCUGGCCGAGAUCUCCCCAAGAUCAGCCCUCCAGUCCCCACCUUUGGGGAGCUUCAGCUUCCCGAUGGGAACUUUCUCCUCCAGCUUCUCCGCCUCCUUCUCCUUCCAUGUCCGGAAGGCGCUGUUCUGACUCCGAAGGAAGAUGCCCUUCACGGUCUCUGAAGCACUCUUUUUAAUUUCACACACUUCUGUGUGUCCGUCGGAGAGAUUUCGGCCGGAGCCCGUGUUACUCUCUCGAGGAGUAC